RNAcentral lists this ribosomal RNA (495 nucleotides) under uncultured bacterium. RNAcentral's name for it is "partial 16S ribosomal RNA". It matches the Rfam family "Bacterial small subunit ribosomal RNA", at positions 29 to 507 of the family's 1533-position model. The record is from RNAcentral.
AUGCACGCUGGCGGCGUGCCUCAUACAUGCCAGUCGCGCGAACAGACGAGGAGCUUGCUCCUCUGACGUUAGCGGCGGACGGGUGAGUAACACGUGGAUAACCUACCUAUAAGACUGGGAUAACUUCGGGAAACCGGAGCUAAUACCGGAUAAUAUAUUGAACCGCAUGGUUCAAUAGUGAAAGACGGUUUUGCUGUCACUUAUAGAUGGAUCCGCGCCGCAUUAGCUAGUUGGUAAGGUAACGGCUUACCAAGGCGACGAUGCGUAGCCGACCUGAGAGGGUGAUCGGCCACACUGGAACUGAGACACGGUCCAGACUCCUACGGGAGGCAGCAGUAGGGAAUCUUCCGCAAUGGGCGAAAGCCUGACGGAGCAACGCCGCGUGAGUGAUGAAGGUCUUCGGAUCGUAAAACUCUGUUAUUAGGAAGAACAAAUGUGUAAGUAACUAUGCACGUCUUGACGGUACCUAAUCAGAAAGCCACGGCUAACUACGUG